This 708-nucleotide ribosomal RNA is filed under the name uncultured bacterium. RNAcentral's name for it is "bacterial SSU rRNA". It matches the Rfam family "Bacterial small subunit ribosomal RNA", at positions 60 to 812 of the family's 1533-position model. The record is from RNAcentral.
AGUCGAACGCGUGUAGCAAUACACGAGUGGCGGACGGGUGAGUAACGCGUGGGAACCUGCCCAGUGGUAGGGAAUAACUGCGGGAAACUGCAGCUAAUACCCUAUGAGCCCUACGGGGGAAAGAUUUAUCGCCAUUGGAGGGGCCCGCGUCGGAUUAGCUAGUUGGUAGGGUAACGGCCUACCAAGGCGACGAUCCGUAGCUGGUCUGAGAGGAUGAUCAGCCACACUGGGACUGAGAUACGGCCCAGACUCCUACGGGAGGCAGCAGUGGGGAAUAUUGGACAAUGGGGGAAACCCUGAUCCAGCAAUGCCGCGUGAGUGAAGAAGGCCUUAGGGUUGUAAAGCUCUUUCGGCGGGGACGAUGAUGACGGUACCCGCAGAAGAAGCCCCGGCUAACUUCGUGCCAGCAGCCGCGGUAAUACGAAGGGGGCUAGCGUUGUUCGGAAUCACUGGGCGUAAAGGGCGCGUAGGCGGCUUGACAAGUCAGGUGUGAAAGCCCCGGGCUCAACCCGGGAAUUGCACUUGAUACUGUCUCGCUAGAGUCCGGGAGAGGAUGGCGGAAUUCCCAGUGUAGAGGUGAAAUUCGUAGAUAUUGGGAAGAACACCGGUGGCGAAGGCGGCCAUCUGGACCGGUACUGACGCUGAGGCGCGAAAGCGUGGGGAGCAAACAGGAUUAGAUACCCUGGUAGUCCACGCCGUAAACGAUGA